RNAcentral lists this ribosomal RNA (433 nucleotides) under uncultured bacterium. Its description in RNAcentral is "partial 16S ribosomal RNA". It matches the Rfam family "Bacterial small subunit ribosomal RNA", at positions 29 to 507 of the family's 1533-position model. The record is from RNAcentral.
AACGAACGCUGGCGGCAUGCCUAACACAUGCAAGUCGAACGAGACCUUCGGGUCUAGUGGCGCACGGGUGCGUAACGCGUGGGAACCUGCCCUUAGGUUCGGAAUAACUCCCCGAAAGGGGUGCUAAUACCGGAUAAUGUCUUCGGACCAAAGAUUUAUCGCCUUUGGAUGGGCCCGCGUUGGAUUAGCUAGUUGGUAGGGUAAAAGCCUACCAAGGCGACGAUCCAUAGCUGGUCUGAGAGGAUGAUCAGCCACACUGGGACUGAGACACGGCCCAGACUCCUACGGGAGGCAGCAGUGGGGAAUAUUGGACAAUGGGCGAAAGCCUGAUACAGCAAUGCCGCGUGAGUGAUGAAGGCCUUAGGGUUGUAAAGCUCUUUUAACCGGGAUGAUAAUGACAGUACCGGGAGAAUAAGCUCCGGCUAACUACGUG